This 372-nucleotide unclassified non-coding RNA is filed under the name soil metagenome. RNAcentral describes it as "partial contains 5.8S ribosomal RNA, internal transcribed spacer 2, and large subunit ribosomal RNA". The stretch from base 1 to 120 matches the Rfam family "5.8S ribosomal RNA", at positions 35 to 154 of the family's 154-position model. The record is from RNAcentral.
GAUGAAGAACGUAGCGAAAUGCGAUAAGUAAUGUGAAUUGCAGAAUUCAGUGAAUCAUCGAAUCUUUGAACGCACAUUGCGCCCGGCAGCAAUCUGCCGGGCAUGCCUGUCCGAGCGUCAUUUCUUCCCUCGAGCGCGGCUAGCCCUACGGGGCCUGCCGUCGCCCGGUGUUGGGGCUCUACGGGUGGGGCUCGUCCCCCCCGCAGUCCCCGAAAUGUAGUGGCGGUCCAGCCGCGGCGCCCCCUGCGUAGUAGAUCCUACAUCUCGCAUCGGGUCCCGGCGAAGGCCAGCCGUCGAACCUUUUAUUUCAUGGUUUGACCUCGGAUCAGGUAGGGUUACCCGAUGAACUUAAGCAUAUCAAUAAGCGGAGGA